This 75-nucleotide transfer RNA is filed under the name Verrucomicrobiota bacterium. RNAcentral's name for it is "Verrucomicrobia bacterium tRNA-His". It matches the Rfam family "tRNA". Rfam says of the family: Transfer RNA (tRNA) molecules are approximately 80 nucleotides in length. The record is from RNAcentral. Lineage: Bacteria; Pseudomonadati; Verrucomicrobiota.
GUGGCUGUAGCUCAAUGGCAGAGCUCCAGAUUGUGGUUCUGGAUGUUGCGGGUUCGAGUCCCGUCAGCCACCCCC